Molecule: ribosomal RNA, 492 nt
Filed under: uncultured bacterium
Lineage: Bacteria
Description: partial 16S ribosomal RNA
Rfam family: Bacterial small subunit ribosomal RNA
Source: RNAcentral
AGUGAACGCUGGCGGCAUGCCUAACACAUGCAAGUCGAACGGCAGCACCGUAAGAGCUUGCUCUUACGUGUGUCGCGUGUCGGACUGGUGCUUAAUACAUCGGAUUCUACUUUUUCGUUGGGGAUAACGUAGGAUAACUUACCCUAAUACCACAUACGACCUACGGGUGUGAGCAGGGGAUCUUCUGACCUUGCGCGAUUGUAUGAGCCGAUGUCGGAUUAGCUAGUUGGCGGGGUAAAGGCCCAACACGGCGACGAUCCGUAGGUGGUAUGAGAGGAUGAUCAGCCACACUGGAACUGAGACACGGUCCAGACUCCUACGGGAGGAAGCAGUGGGGAAUAUUGGACAAUGGGGGAAAGCGUGAUCCAGCAAUACCGCGUGGGUGAAGAAGGACUACGGGUUGUAAAGCCAUGUUGUUGGGAAAGAAAAGAAGCAGGUUAAUACCCCGAGGUUAUGACGGUACCCAAAGAAUAAGCACCGGCUAACUCCGUG